RNAcentral lists this ribosomal RNA (490 nucleotides) under uncultured bacterium. RNAcentral describes it as "partial 16S ribosomal RNA". It matches the Rfam family "Bacterial small subunit ribosomal RNA", at positions 30 to 507 of the family's 1533-position model. The record is from RNAcentral.
AUUGAACGCUGGCGGCAGGCCUAACACAUGCCAGUCGAACGGUAACAGGAAACAGCUUGCUGUUUCGCUGACGAGUGGCGGACGGGUGAGUAAUGUCUGGGAAACUGCCUGAUGGAGGGGGAUAACUACUGGAAACGGUAGCUAAUACCGCAUAACGUCGCAAGACCAAAGAGGGGGACGCUCGGGCCUCUUGCCAUCGGAUGUGCCCAGAUGGGAUUAUAUUGUUGGUGGGGUAACGGCUCACCAAGGCGACGAUCCCUAGCUGGUCUGAGAGGAUGACCAGCCACACUGGAACUGAGACACGGUCCAGACUCCUACGGGAGGCAGCAGUGGGGAAUAUUGCACAAUGGGCGCAAGCCUGAUGCAGCCAUGCCGCGUGUAUGAAGAAGGCCUUCGGGUUGUAAAGUACUUUCAGCGGGGAGGAAGGGAGUAAAGUUAAUACCUUUGCUAAUUGACGUUACCCGCAGAAGAAGCACCGGCUAACUCCGUG